This 255-nucleotide ribosomal RNA is filed under the name uncultured bacterium. RNAcentral describes it as "partial 16S ribosomal RNA". It matches the Rfam family "Bacterial small subunit ribosomal RNA", at positions 524 to 776 of the family's 1533-position model. The record is from RNAcentral.
UACGUAGGGUGCAAGCGUUGUCCGGAUUUAUUGGGCGUAAAGAGCUCGUAGGCGGUUGGGCAAGUCACGUGUGAAAUCUCCACGCUCAACGUGGAGGCGCCACGUGAGACUGCCCUGACUCGAGUCCGGUAGGGGAGCGUGGAAUUCCCGGUGUAGUGGUGAAAUGCGUAGAUAUCGGGAGGAACACCAGUGGCGAAGGCGACUACCUGGCCUGUUUCUUGACGCUGAGGCGCGAAAGCUAGGGGAGCAAACGGG